GGCAUGGUGCAGUGGUUUGAAGCUGGACUAGGACUCCAGGGGACCAGGGUUCAAAUCCCCAAUCAGCCA
Phrynosoma platyrhinos (Desert horned lizard) is the source of this 69-nucleotide non-coding RNA. The record is from the annotation of a GenBank genome assembly. NCBI's taxonomy places the organism in Eukaryota, Metazoa, Chordata, Lepidosauria, Squamata, Phrynosomatidae.